RNAcentral lists this long non-coding RNA (13235 nucleotides) under Cucumis sativus (cucumber). RNAcentral describes it as "long non-coding RNA (CSAT_LNC002222)". Lineage: Eukaryota; Viridiplantae; Streptophyta; Magnoliopsida; Cucurbitales; Cucurbitaceae. The record is from RNAcentral.
CAUGGCCAUGAGGUAUCGUUUUCACUCGGCUUGCUAACAAAGGGACGAACAAAGCGAUUGUAGUCAUUGGAAGAGGCUAAGUACUUGUUGUUGUAGCAACAUUUAAUGUGCCAAUAUUUACCAUUCUUGUCGGGCUCAAUCUCGAACUUUGUAAACGGGGUCAAAGCUUGAUCAGAAGAGAAGUAUAGAUUGCCCUUAAAAAAACCAUGGGUAAGGUAUUGAAGGUACUUCCUUUCUGUGUGGUUCUGAAAUCCUACAUACUUAGGGAGAAACGACAUUAUUAUAGAUAUGAUCAACAGAUACAAAGAGAGAGAGAGAGAUGAGCUUGAGUGUACGUGUAUGUAUGUAUAAGUUUUCUUCUUCUUAAUUACACACUUAAUUCUCUAAGGUGUGAGUACUAAUACCCAAUAUCCAAACCUCUUCUCUUUAUAUAUACAUGUAUGGAUAACUAAUAUUAACUAUUAUCUUCUGCAUGAUCGUAGGACGAUACAUCACUUAUAAUAUGGAUAACAAGGAAUCCUUACUUUACUUUUUUUCUUUAUUGACUAAAUAAUUUAAACUUUAUACUUUGUGUCAAUCAAAAAUAUCUCUCAACCCUAAAUAUAUAUAUUUUUAAAAAUAAUUUAAAGCAGCAUUUUCAAAAAUAGCAAAAUAAAAUAAAAUAUUUACAAGCUAUAACAAAAUUUUAGAUUUUAUGAGUGAUAAAAAUGUAGCAUAUCAAUGAUUAUCAGUUAUAGAAUUGAUUGUAAAUAUUUUGUAAAAUCUACUGCUUUUUUAAAUUUCCCUAAUUUAAAAGUAUUUACAUUGCAUUGCACAUGUUAUGUAAAAAGAAAAUAUUUAAAAGUUGUAGAUUCAUGGUACGGUGAUAGAAAACUACUAGCUAUAGAAUCCAAGAUUUUGCUAUAGUUUUUAAAUAUUUUAAUUAAUUUAUUUUGCUAUUUUAAAAAAUAGUCAUAAGACCAUAAAUUAGUUAUUUAAGAUUUUUUUCGAAAACUCAUUCUUAUGUUUUAGAUUUGGGAAAUUGUCAAAUAUUCAUUUACACUUUAUAGAAAAAUAAAAUUGAAUCACUCUCGAGAAAAUAUAAUUUUUGUUUGUUUUUUUGGAUGAAGUGAAAAUAGUUUGUCAAAUUUUUUUAUAUUUUUUUAAAAAAAUUGAAGAUUUGGUUAGCUUAAAUUAUUAUUUAUUAUUAAAAACCAUUAUAUAUAUUUUAAAAUUUUGUGAAUAUUUAGAAAUCUAAUUUUUUUAAAAACAUUGUUCACUUUUGGUUGUAGUGAAUAUAUAUCAAAAUCUAUUAGAUUUUCAAAAAAAAAUUAUCUCCAACCUAAUAUCUAUUAUUAUUUUCUAAAAAUUGUUCCGAUAGAAAUAUAUAAAAAAAUAUUAAUUUUUAUAUGUGGUGAUAGACUCUUAUCGCUGAUAUAGUCUAUAUUAUUGAUAGAUUUCCAAAUAUUGAUCUAAAUUUUGUUAUAUCAAAAAAGAAAAAAUAAAAACCAAAGUUUUUUACUACCGACACCUUUUUCCACUCUCCAACACUAGAGUCACCCACCUUUCUACAACAUAAUGGAUGUGAGACAAACACUUUUAAUAUUUUGCCAAAAAUUCUUACAAAAAUGAUAUUUUCAGUACGUGGAACCCUCCGUUUAAAAUUUGCAGAACUAGGAAGAUUUAGAAAAAGUCGUUUUAGAAAAGAGGUUAAUAUAAUUGCUAACCUGAGUAGUUAUCUCAAGGACAAGAGAUCUCGAAUUCAAAUCUUUCCACGCUUCCGUAUUGUAUUAUUUAAACAUAUCUUUAAAAAAACUUAAUUAAUUUGUAACCUAAAAAUAAAUAACAUUAUCUUUUUGUUUUCUUUUCAUACGAAGAUUAUAUUGCUGCUUAAGAACAAUAUACUUUACUAAAUUCUUUUGUUUGAGCAGACUAGAACAUACUGAUAUAUUCCAUGUUUCACAUUGUUGAACGACUUUAACUUUUACAUUCAUACAACUUUUGUACGAGCAUCUUAUUUUUGUUUCGAGUCAUUGACAUUCAACCUCGCCAGUUCCAAAAUAUGGGGCUGUUUAUUAAUUCUCUCUCUUUAGUUAGGAGGGUCUCUAUCUCUAAAUAAAAAGUUGUUUAAAUAAUUGAUCCUCAAUCUGCUUUUAAUAUACAUGUUAUUGACCAAGGUUAUAUAAAUGUUAUUAGUACAUAUUAAUCAAGAGUUCAAAAAUGUUAUGUAUUUUUUUCUUAAACUAAUAUUAUUUAAGGUAAUGUGAUCCCAAACCUUAAGUUACUUAAUGAAGCAAUGAAGAAGAAUAUAGCUAAAUAUAGUAGAUGCCUUUAUCUUUCUUUCUUUGAUCAUUUCGUCUUCAUCUUAUUCCAUUGCUAGAUUAGAUCUUGUUGAACUUAUAUCUAAUACCAUAAAUCUUUCUUCAUUUAUGCUUGAAUUAUUAAACUACAUUCUAUUUCCUUACCCGAACUUUGAAUACUUUAAAGAAAAAUAUUUAAAAAAGUAGAUUUUACAAAAUAUUUACGAACAUAUACCAAAUUCUAUCAUAUCAGUCAUAGAAUCUAAAAUUUUGCUAGUAAAUACUUUAUUUUAUUUUGUUAUUUUUAAAAAUGUUUUAUAUAUAAAACAUCGAUAUAAAAACAGUAAAAAGACUUUUAAAGACAGAUUUGUCCGGUUUUAAAUUAAAUGUAUUGAAUUAAAAAAUUAUUAGGUAAAUUGAUUUUUAAAAAGAGAAAUUUUUAGAAAUAGUAGAUUUUACAAAAUAUUUACAACUUAUAGCAAAUUCUAUCACUGAUAGUCAUUGAUAUGCUAUCGUGAUAGAAGACUAUCAUUGAUGGAAUCUAAAAUUUUGGUAUAGCUUGUAAAUAUUUUAAUUUAUUUUGCUAUUUUAAAAAAUGUUCCUCCCCAACCUAAAAGUUUUGUUUAAUUAAAUAAUUAGAGUAAUAAUAAGAAUUUAGCUUUAAUGAUUGGAAUAAAAAAACGGUUAAUAACUAAUUGAGUCCAAACUUACCGUAUAAACACACACAAGAUUGAAGAUCGAAAAUUGCUCGAAGAUGAAGAUGAAAAUUGAAAUUGUUCAUAGUAAAACAUUAUUUGUUAAUUUAUAAUUUUUUUUGUUAUAGUUUAUACUGUUUUUUUUGUUAAUAAUUCAACCGUUUAUAAUAUUUUUUGUGCAUAGAAACGUACAAAACUUUAUUUUCAUAAACUUUUAAUUUAUCCAAAAAAAAAUGAGAUGUGUUAUUUUGAUUUAAUUAUUUAGUUCAUUUUCUAUAAGAUAGAUGAAAAAAGGUGUGAUUAAUAAAGUUAGAAGUUUUUCUAAAAUCGUGAAUAAAAGUAAUUACAAUUGUUUACAAAUUUAAUUAUAUUAUAGCAAAUCAAAAAUAAAAAUAGAAAACCUGUUAGCAUUUAAAAUUUUAUAGUUUGUUACAUUUAUUAUAUAAAUGUGUUUGAAAUCGUAUUCAAAUAUACAUUUUCUUUCACAGAAAUUUGUUCAAAAUAAUAUUAUGUAGAUUUAUUGUAGCAGAGAUUUAUAGAGAAAAUGUCAAUAAAGCUGAUAAAUAAAAAAAGGGAUAAAAGUUCUAUUUUUUAAAAAAUGGAUCAUACUCGUUCACCCAUCGUUGUAUUGCAUAAAUUUACGAGCAUUUCCAAUCUUAUAAGUAUUUUUUUGAAGACUAAAUGUACAAUUGUAUUGAUACAAAAGCAUACAUGUAUGGUAAUACUUAGUGAAUUAAAAUUAUAGUUAUAAUACAUUGUGUGGACAUUUAAUUUUUUUUUAAGGAAAGGAGAAAUCUAAUUAGUAAUUUAAGAUAAUUAUCCAAAAUUAUAUAACUGUGAAUGCUUUGUAAUUAAAAUAAUAAAUAAAUUAGUUAUUUUCUAAUAUCAAAAUAAACUAAAAUAUUUAAAGUAUAGGAAAGUAUCACUUAUAGGUGUUGAUAGAUACAAUAAAUUUAUGAAUGUUUAUCAUUGAUUUACUAUGAAAAUUCUCUUAUAAUUAAAAAUAAUUUCAACCAUUUUAUUAUUGGGACACUUGCAAAAAUGACAAAACAAGUUAUAAUAAUUAAGUCCAUAACACACAAGUUUUAUUAUUUUCGAAGAUGGCAAAAACGAAGUCCAACCCACACAUCAAGAGGUAAAAUAUCACUAAUGUCUUUGUUACUAAUAUACAUCUGAUACACCUUAUACACGUCUGAUACACCUAAUACACCCCUUGAUACACCUAAUAUACCCCUUGAUACACCUGAUACUUCUUGAUACACCCGAUAUAUUUGAUUGAUACACUUGAUGCACCUAAUACUUUUUGAUACAUUCGAUACCUUUUGAUACACACCUGAAACAUUACUAAUAUAUGUUUGAUACACUGCAGAUACAUUUAGUAUUCUUCACUUAUACAAUUGAUUGAUUAAAUGCACUUGAUAUGCUUGAAGUCCUACUUAUAUACUUGAUAUAAUAUUGAUAUACACUUGUAAACUUGAUUCAUAUACUUGAUAAUGAUUCACUUUACUAAUAUGUUUUAACAAUAUAUUGUUAAUAUACUUGAUAAUGAUACACUGAGUUACAUCAUUCAUAUACUUAAUAAUACUCUAACGAACUACGUAAAGUUUGAAAAAACGAAAAUCAUGUAGUAAGUAUAUUAACCAACUAAUACAUAUAAUAUAAGUAUAUCACAACACUAUAUACGAAACUGAGAAAAAGUAAAACAAAAAAAUUAAUGUAAAAAAAUAAAACAAAAUCAUUUGGAAUCUAAUUCAACUCAAAAUACAUAUCGAAGGAAGUAAAAAAAAAAUCACAAAUGAAGUUAAUUACUCCGAUCAACAACCAUUAUAUUAUAUUUCAUAUUGCAAUUAUUGUACUAUUGAUAUUUUAAAAUUAAGAUUAAGACAAAAAGAAUAAAUUAUUUUUUUAGUAUAAGAAUAAACAAAUAAUUAGGGUCUUAGAAAGUGAGAGAAUAAAUAAAUAAUAAGUAGACAUUAAAUAGAGGAAGAGAAAUAAGUUAUUGAACGGUAAUUUAGGAAUAAUAACAAACUUAAGAUGAAGAAGUAAAAAUUUUGCCAUAUUUACAAAAUUCUAAAACAAUGUGCUAUAAUUGCUAUAUUAUAUUCUCGAAAUGUUAUCAUAAGGAAUUUUUAAAUAUUAUUUACAACUAUUUUUUAAAAUUAUAAUAUAUUACUUAUUUGUAAAUUCCCACCUAAAAGUUAACAUAGCUAGAUUAGGAGAUGAUUGCAAAUAUGAUUUUAGCAUUAUGGUUAUAAAAAUUUGAAGCAUACAUUUACAAAAUCACCAACUUUAUGUGUGUAUAUAUAUAUGACAAAUUAUGUGCAAUAGAAUCUUUAGAAUUUGAGUCUAAAAUCAAAAAUUUAUAAUAUAUAUGUGUGUAAAUUUUAAAAUAACUAAAUAUGCAUCUCAACUUCAAAUAUAUAUAUGUGACACAUAGAUAAAAUAUAUAUGUUAAUAGAAAAGAGAUUAGAAUUAAAAUAUGUAUAAUUUUUAGUAUUAUCUUUUUUUGCAUUGAACUGCAUUAUUUGUUAGGUAAUACUUUUUGUAGCAUAGUAAUAAGAUAGAUCACAUUUUGAUUUAUUAAAAGCUUUAUCCAACACAACAGAUAAAGCUAUACACACACUCAAGAGUAAGUAAAAGAAAAAUUAAGAAACACAAACACAAAUGACAUAAUAGUGGAUGAUGGAUAAUAUAGUGUGGUAUAGUGAUGAUGAAUUAUAUAAAUCAGAGAGGAAGAGGCUUGUUUUGAUAAUCAAACUUAAAGGUAUAGACUCCAGUGUAAAGGCCAUCAUCAUACUCUGUCUCAACUCUUCUUCCAUUUCGGAGAAGAUCUCGUUGCGUGUACGAAAACGGAAUAUCACAUUUGGCCUUAGUUGCAAGAAGAGUAACUUUCAUCCUUGUGUUUGGUGGUACAGGAACAGUAUAUGUUGCCGUUACUUCUCUACUUUCUGAAAUAGUUUCUCCCCAUGUGUAACUCGCUUCAAAAUUGUAGCUGACUUUAAUCUCAGUAUCUAAAAUUUCAGGAAUCCCAGCUUUAAUGGAAGUCUCUAUACCCACACCUACGGUGAGUGAAGAUUCCCAAGUUUUGGAUUUUUCUUCGAGGUACCUCAAACUUACAGCCAUAACCGUCUCCUUCGAGCUCGAGUUAACAGCCUCCUCCGUUGCCAUUGUUAGUACCUGUUCAUCGUAUAUCUUUGCAUCCAUAGUCCGAUACCGAAUAUUGUAGAUUUCCCUUGAAAUAAUUGGCUCAACGAUCUCCAAUUCUGCCUCCUUAGUGAUAGUUUCACUACUAGCAUUCAGAAAAUCCACCUUACCAUCACCAGUGUAUCUCGUAACAAACCUGCCAUUGGCAACGUUUCGAAGUGCGACUUUGUUUUUAGCAAUCUUGACGGGCCAGAACAAGGUGUUCUUGUCGUUCUUCGUCUGGUCGUUUGAGUCAGCCAGGAUCCAGUUUGGGUCACGUCUCCAAAACUUCUUCGUAGAUUCGUUCUUGAUUCUAACAGUUCCAUCACCAACGUUGAAAAUUUCGUGGCUCACCUGAGGGUUUCCAAUGUCAUUGGCAUUGAACUGCAGAUAUGGGGAAUUACGAUACGUAUAGGUAGCGAGAAACUUGUCAUUGUUCUUAAAGGAGAGGUAUUUAGGGAGUCGGAUGAUGUUUUCAAAGUCGACUAGCACAACUAAUUUGUCGUCGUGUCGUUUUUCAUCGCGUCUAUAUCUAGUUGUGAGAACAUCAGGAUGAAUUCUGCUACUGGUACAUCGACGUGCAUAGGUUUGAAGCAAGACAUCAAAUAAAUAGUAAGUCCCUGUAGUAGGACCAGGGAUGAAAUUAAACAAUGUGCAUGGCCAUGAGGAUUCAUUUUCACUCGGCUUGCUAACGAAGGGAGUAACGAAGCGAUUGUGGUCGUUGGAAGAGGCCAAGUACUUGUCGUUGUAGCAACAUUUUAUGUGCCAAUAUUUACCAUCCUUGUCGGGCACAAUCUCAAACUUUGUAAAUGGGGUCAAAGCUUGAUCGGAAGAGUAUUGUAGGUUACCCCUAAGAAAACCAUCAGAAAGGUAUUGAAGGUACUUUCCUUCUACGUGGUUCUGGAAUCCUGCAUAUUUGGGGAGAAACGACAUUGUUAACGGAGAGAGAUGGUAAAUAUGAGUUUUCUUCUUCUCAAUUACACACUUCUCAAGGUGGUGAGGAACUGAUGCCCAGUCCCCAAACCUCUUCUCUUUAUAUACAUAUAUGGAUAACUAAUAUUAAUUAUUAUAUUUUGCAUGAAUGGGACGAUACAUCGCUUAUAUGGAUAAAUCAGAAUAUAUACUUACUUCACUUUUUUGUUUGUUGACUAGAUAAUCUCAACUUUUUACUUUGUGUCAUUCAUAAAUAUCUCUAAAGUACCGUAAAAAAGUUCAAAAAAAUAAUCUUGCUGCUUUUUAGUGUGUCCAAAAGUUUUCGAUUUUUUUAGUUGUAGUAUUUCUUCUAUACCGCUUAGUUUUUUAGUUGUAGUAUUACUUCUAUACCGCUUAGUUACUUACGUGUGUUUUUAUAAUCUGUGCAUAACUUUUCGAGUUUCUUUCUAGCAUGUUUUGUACUUUUCCAUUGAUUAUUGAUAUCGUAUUUGGUCUUAAGAUGGAAUGAAGGGUGUUAUAGAGAUGUUAACCGAGUUGAAAUAUCUUGGUAUAUUCCAUGAUCCCUCUCUCUAGUUGGAUACUAAGUGCAUUGUAGUACAAUUUAAAAAGAUAACUUAAAUAUAAAUGGUUAAUAAAAUAACUCGUGAAAUUAAAAAAAAAUCAUUAAAAAAAUGAGUUAUUUAUAAAAGAAAAUUAAAAAGAAUCUUUUGAAUAAAAUAAUAACAAGAUUUGAAAUCAAAAUAUUUGUGUACUAUUAUAUGUUAAAUAUAUUAUCACAUAUUAAAUAAAAUAUAAUAUUUUAUGAUAGCAAAUUAAGUAUGAUUAAGUGUUUGUAUUUACAUCUAUGGAUAUAACUAUUAUUUUGGAAAGUUAGUGUAAUACGUAAUUAAGGGUGGAGGGAUAGUUUGAACCCACGGGGAUACACGUUCCUGUAUUAUUGUUAUUGUUAUUAAUUUAAAUAAGUCAAUCAACUAGCAAUGGAAUAAUUAAGAUCAAAAGGAAAUGAUGAAAGAAGGAUAAAGGCAUCCAUCAACUCAAUAAACUUAAAAGAAAUGCUCGUAUAAAAAGUUAAAGUCAUUAAACAGUGUGGAAUAUGAUUGAUUCGUAUAGAGUUGAUGGAUGCAAAGAUAUAGAGAACCAAUCAGCUUAUCUAUAGGUUUUGAUGGUUACACACUGCAAAAUUAAUUUUCACUAACCAAAAUGUUGCAAAUUUUUAAGUAUUAGAAAUAUAUUAUUAUAUACUUUUAAGUUUAUUCAUUUUGUAGUUGGAGAGAAUGGAAAAAAAAAAGUGAGUAGUCAAUAAAGUUUUGGGAGAUUUUUUUUUUAAUUACUGUGUUUUUGUUAGCUUUUUGUUUUCUAUUUUUUGUUUUUCUUUCAGUUAUUAUAUCGUUAAUUUUUUUUGAAAUAUACAAAAAAAAAAAAAAAACUAAAAUAUUUACAAAAUCAAAUUAAAAAGUCCAUGAACCCAACCGUAUAUUUCUUUUAUAAAAUAUUUCAUGUUUGUCUAGCCACUUUCAUUCUACUUUUCUAUCUUCUCUUCGGAUCUAUGUUUCCAAUCAAUCAUAAAUUUUGUAUUUUUUUUUCCAAAGUGUUAUUUGAUUCAAGAUCGUGUACCAAGGUACACAAUCUUGAACAAAAAUCUUUGAGAUAUUGGUACAUGAUAACUUAGAUUUAGCUACACGAUCGUGUAACAAAUCUAAAAGAUAUUGGUACAAGAUCGUGUGCCAAAUAUAAAAUAUAUUGAAAAAAAUCGUUCGAAUAUUGGUGUCGUCACGUGCACGAGACGACACAGAGAGACCGACAUCCUAACAAUGUGUUAGUUUUAAAACAAAAUAAAAAAAAAAAAAAGUUGCCACCAAUUUUUUUUACGAGGUGAUUGAACACCAAAAUAAAAUAAACAAAAUUUAAAUAAAAUCAUAAAAAAAUGGUUGACAAACAUUAGACUUGAGUUUGUGAGUCAAUUGUGCAUGAGGAAAGUGUCACACCCAAAACACCCAUUCAGAAAACGGUGGCAAAAUUGUAAAUAUUGAAUUGAAAAUAUUCUUUAAUUUCUUUUAAAAUUAAUAUCUUAUUUUACCCCCGACUACUCUCAUAUUUGAAGUAACGAUCUCAUAAAAUAAGUGGAAAGCAUUCCACCACACUAUAUUCAUGAAAAAAAAUUUCUCAUCCUCAAAAAUUAGUACAAUUUCUCAAAAUCUAUCCUAGGCAUUGUCUUCUAAUUAUAAAGUGAUUUUUUUCUAGGACAUUAAUUAAAAGUAAUUUUUCUUGGAUCAAAUCUCGAACUCCCAAAAAUUCCAAGAGUUUUAUGAUUUUGUUUAAGAAAAACGGUAUAAGUUAUUAUAAAAGAUUGAUUAGAAAAUUUUAUGAAAUCACAAAUUAAAUUUUGAAGGUUCGAACAACAUAAAAAAAAAAUGAUAACUUGAAAAGAUUUUUUUUUUUCUAAAAUCACUUUUAGAAAAAGAGUUUUGUGAAAGAUUUUUAAACCUAUAAAAAUUUAAAGUAGAAGGAUUUUAAAAUAUUGAAAAUUUUAAAUAGAAAGAUAUAUCAAUUUUGAAUGGAAAUGAAAAUGAGGCUUAAUAGAAAAAUUAGAUAAGUAAAAACAAAAGUAAAGAAACGUCAUAAUAAAUUAAGCAAACAUAUUAAAAUAGCUUAAUGAGAUUUUAGUAAAAACAUUGUUGAGCAAGAAAUUUCGGCCAAUUAAAUUCUGCCACAUCAUCCCAACAAAUAUUUGUCAAAUAAGUAGAUUAGCCAAGUCUAAGCUCAACAAGUAGAUGGGCCUAAGCCCAAUAAAGCAAAUGGGCCCAAGCUCAAGUUUAAGCUUAAGUCCAAGCCCAACAGCCCCACAAGCAAAUGAGUCCAAGCCCACCUAAAGCCCACAAAUUUUCUCUAUAAAUAGAAACCUUUGUCAUUCAUUUGAGAGGUCUUUUUUGUUGAAGGAAGAAUUGAAGCUCUGAAGUACUGAAAUUGUGAAGAAUUGAAGAUUCAAACUUCUAUAAAAAAUUGAAGAUUCAAACUUCUAUAAAAAAUUGAAGAUUCAAACUUCUAUAAAGCUCUCAAGACGUGCAAGUUCUUAUCAACUUCGAGAUCAUCAUCUUCUGAAAGAUUGAAGACUUGGAAGAUCAAACUUUCCUUGAAUUCCAGAAGAUUGAAGCUUAAAUAGACUUGCAACUACAACAUCCUAAAGACCGAAGAUCAAUAAAUUCUAAAUUUUUAACUUGUAUUCGAGAGAAAGCAUCAAAUGAGUAAAUACUAGAGAUUGUAUUUACAAUAUUCAUCAAUAUACAAAUUUCAAUUCCCCGAAAUACAUUUUUUCGAAAUCUCGUGUGAACAAACAUAUUGGAGAUCGACCUCAAACUUUCAAAUAAUCGAUUUUCUCAUCUCAAGAAUUCUAGAAAAACGAACUCUCUAAUUUUUUAGAUUCCAUCGUUGAGUGUUUUUUAAAAGAAAACUAAUUAAAAAUAUUAAAAUAUUAAACAGCGAAAAUGUAAAAUAAACAAUAAUCUAUAAAUAAAAUAAAAUAUAAUGCAAAACUAUUAGAAAAAGAAAGAAGAAAGUAAGAAUAAAUAAUGAUUAAAAAAAUUGAUAAACAAGGUAUGAAAUAACGUACAUCAACAAAUAAAUUUAUUAUAUAAAAAAGAAAAUGUAGAAAUAAGGUAAUAAAGAAAUAAUUAUAAGAGUAGAAAAAUGGAGAAAUAAGAAUUAGAAAAAUAAACAAAUAUGGAGAGAAAAAAUAAACGUAUAUAAAAAUAAGAAAAUAUUAAAAAAACAAUAAUCAACUUUAUGAAAAGAGAAUAAAAGAACUAGAUAUAAAAUGCUAAUUAAAAAGAAAUAAAUAUAAUAUAGAAAGAAGAAGAAGAUAUACAACAAAAUGUAUAAUAAAAAAAAUUAUAUAUAAAAGAGAAGUUCAAAAGAUAAUAUAAAAAAAAAUAGGAAAAUUAGAAAAACAAUAACUAAAAAAUACAAAAGAAAAAAUUAAAAAAAAAGAAUUAAAACAAUGAACCCUCUUGCUGUUUAAAGCGUAGAUUAUUGAGAAUUAAAUCAUACCAUACACAUCUAAUGAUUAAGUUAGAGAUUUUACUGUAUGUUGGUUUUUCGACACUUUUAGAAAAAUAUGAUAUUUAGGGGUUUGUUACGCGAGAAAACAAAAUAGAUGUUGUAGAUUUUUGUUUCUUAAAGAAGAGAUUAAGGGUAAGAGAAGUAGUGACUAUGAAAGUUAGAGGUUUUGAUGAAGAAGAGAGAACGGUACCGAUAUCUCUAGGGUUUUUUUUGUGUGACCUUCUCCAUUGGUGGUGUUUUUUUCAUGAAAGAAGAAUAAGAGAAUAUUUAUAUAUAGCAAAAAAUAAAAAAGCUUAUUCAAAAAGGCUAAAUAUUUCAAAAUUAUUUCUCCACGUAACUUAAUUAUGCUAAUUAAUUGAUUUAGUUAUUCUAAUGACCAAGCAACCACAUAACACAUAACUUUUAAAAUGAGAGGAUCUAAAUUUCUAUUAUAUCACACUGCAUUUGCUAAUACUUUUAAGUCUUACAGAGUGGCAUAGUAAUAAGAUAGAUAUUUUUAUUUAUUUCAAGCUUUAUCAAAGACAAGUGAUAAUAAAGCUACACACUCAAAAGUCAAAAGAAAAGUUAAGAAACACACAAGAUGACAUAGUGGACGAUGGAUACAGUGGUAAGCGGUAUGGUGAUGGUGAAUUAUUUAGAAUGAAGAGGGUAAGGCUUGUUUUGAUAAUCAAACUUAAAGGUAUAGACUCCAGUGUAAAGACCAUCAUCACACUCUAUCUCAACUCUUCUUCCGUUUCGGAGAAGAUCUCGUUGCGUGUACGAAAACGGAAUAUCACAUUUGGCCUUUGUUGCAAGAAGAGUAACUUUCAUCCUUGUGUUUGGUGGUACAGGAACAGUAUAUGUUGCCGUUACUUCUCUACUUUCUGAAAUAGUUUCUCCCCAUGUGUAAUUCGCUUCAAAAUUGUAGCUGACUUUAAUCUCAGCAUCUAAAAUUUCAGGAAUCCCAGCUUUAAUGGAAGUCUCUAUACCCACACCUACGGUGAGUGAAGAUUCCCAAGUUUUGGAUUUUUCUUCUAGGUACUUCAAACUUACAGCCAUAACCGUCUCCUUCGAGCUCGAGUUAACAGCCUCCUCCGUUGCCAUUGUUAGUACCUGUUCAUCGUAUAUCUUUGCAUCCAUAGUCCGGUACCGAAUAUUGUAGAUUUCCCUUGAAAUAAUUGGCUCAACGAUCUCCAAUUCUGCCUCUUUAGUGAUAGUUUCACUACUAGCGUUCAGAAAAUCCACCUUACCAUCACCAGUGUAUCUCGUAACGAACCUGCCAUUGGCAACGUUUCGAAGCGCGACUUUGUUUUUAGCAAUCUUGACUGGCCAGAACAAGGUGUUCUUAUCGUUCUUCGUCUGGUCGUUUGAGUCAGCCAGGAUCCAGUUUGGGUCACGUCUCCAAAACUUCUUCGUAGAUUCGUUCUUGAUUUUAACAGUUCCAUCGCCGACGUUGAAAAUUUCAUGGCUCACCUGAGGGUUUCCAAUGUCGUUGGCAUUGAACUGCAGAUAUGGGGAAUUACGAUACGUAUAGGCAGCGAGAAACUUGUCAUUGUUCUUAAAGGAGAGGUAUUUGGGGAGUCGAAUGAUGUUUUCAAAGUCGACUAGCACAACUAAUUUGUCGUCGUGUCGUUUUUCAUCUCGUCUAUAUCUAGUUGUGAGAACAUCGGGAUGAAUUCUGCUACUGGUACAUCGACGUGCAUAGGUUUGAAGCAAGACAUCAAAUAAAUAGUAAGUCCCUGUAGUAGGACCAGGGAUGAAAUUAAACAAUGUGCAUGGCGAUGAGGAUUCGUUUUCACUCGGCUUGCUAACGAAGGGAGUAACGAAGCGAUUGUGGUCGUUGGAAGAGGCCAAGUACUUGUCGUUGUAGCAACAUUUUAUGUGCCAAUAUUUACCAUCCUUGUCGGGCACAAUCUCGAACUUUGUAAAUGGAGUCAAAGCUUGAUCAGAAGAGUAUUGUAGGUUACCGAAAAGAAAACCAUCAGAAAGGUAUUGAAGGUACUUUCCUUCUGUGUGGUUCUGGAAUCCUGCAAACUUAGGAAGAAACGACAUUAUUAACCGAGAGAGAUGGUAAAUAUGGGUUUUCGUCUUCUUAAUUACACACUUCUGA